Molecule: ribosomal RNA, 332 nt
Filed under: uncultured eukaryote
Lineage: Eukaryota
Description: partial 18S ribosomal RNA
Rfam family: Eukaryotic small subunit ribosomal RNA
Source: RNAcentral
CAAUAGCGUAUAUUAAAGUUGUUGCAGUUAAAAAGCUCGUAGUUGAAUUUCGGGUCCCCGCGCUCGGCGCUUCAUUGUGCCGUCGUGGUGUCCCUCCUCGCCGUAAGGCGUCCUUUACUGUGAAAAAAUUAGAGUGUUCAAAGCAGGCAAUCGCUUGAAUACAUUAGCAUGGAAUAAUAAGAUAGGAUCUUGUCUAUUUUGUUGGUUGCGGACAACGAUAAUGAUUAAUAGGGAUAGUUGGGGGUGUCCGUAUUGAGCUGUCAGAGGUGAAAUUCUUGGAUUUGCUCAAGACGAACUACUGCGAAAGCAUUCACCAAGGAUGCUUUCAUUAA